GCUGGGUGUGGUGGUGCAUACCUGUAGUCCCAGCUACUUGGGAAGCUGAGGCAGGAGAAUGGCUUGAACCUGGGAGGCAGAGGUUGCAGUGAGCUGAGAUCGCACCACUGCACUCCUGCCUGGGUGACAGAGCAAGACUCUGUCUCUC
RNAcentral lists this non-coding RNA (148 nucleotides) under Homo sapiens (human). The record is from Rfam by way of RNAcentral. Lineage: Eukaryota; Metazoa; Chordata; Mammalia; Primates; Hominidae.